CAUCGCCUCUUGACUAAAUAUAAGAGGUCCAGCCUGCCCAGUGACAUAGUUUAACGGCCGCGGUACCCUAACCGUGCGAAGGUAGCAUAAUCACUUGUUCUUUAAAUAGGGACUCGUAUCAACGGCAUCACGAGGGCUGUACUGUCUCCUUUCUCCAAUCAGUGAAACUGAUCUCCCCGUGAAGAAGCGGGGAUAAACCUAUAAGACGAGAAGACCCCAUGGAGCUUUAAACCCACCACACACCUUUACACACUCAAAUCAACAUAGCCAAAAAGGCUUGUGUGUUGGUUUUAGGUUGGGGGGACCGCGGAGUAAAAUCAAACCUCCACGACAGACGGGCUAACACCCUUAUCCACGAACCACAAUUCUAAGAGCCAAUAAACUGUUGUCUAAUGACCCAAUUAUUUGAUCAACGAACCAAGUUACCCUGGGGAUAACAGCGCAAUCUACUUCAAGAGUCCAUAUCGACAAGUAGGUUUACGACCUCGAUGUUGGAUCAGGGUAUCCUAGUGGUGCAGCCGCUACUAAAGG
RNAcentral lists this ribosomal RNA (531 nucleotides) under Amolops chunganensis (Chungan torrent frog). Its description in RNAcentral is "partial large subunit ribosomal RNA". It matches the Rfam family "Bacterial large subunit ribosomal RNA", at positions 1826 to 2571 of the family's 2925-position model. The record is from RNAcentral. Lineage: Eukaryota; Metazoa; Chordata; Amphibia; Anura; Ranidae.